RNAcentral lists this ribosomal RNA (497 nucleotides) under uncultured bacterium. Its description in RNAcentral is "partial 16S ribosomal RNA". It matches the Rfam family "Bacterial small subunit ribosomal RNA", at positions 28 to 507 of the family's 1533-position model. The record is from RNAcentral.
GAUGAACGCUGGCGGCGUGCCUAAUACAUGCAAGUCGAGCGAACGGACGAGAAGCUUGCUUCUCUGAUGUUAGCGGCGGACGGGUGAGUAACACGUGGAUAACCUACCUAUAAGACUGGGAUAACUUCGGGAAACCGGAGCUAAUACCGGAGAAUAUUUUGAACCGCAUGGUUCAAAAGUGAAAGACGGUCUUGCUGUCACUUAUAGAUGGAUCCGCGCUGCAUUAGCUAGUUGGUAAGGUAACGGCUUACCAAGGCAACGAUGCAUAGCCGACCUGAGAGGGUGAUCGGCCACACUGGAACUGAGACACGGUCCAGACUCCUACGGGAGGCAGCAGUAGGGAAUCUUCCGCAAUGGGCGAAAGCCUGACGGAGCAACGCCGCGUGAGUGAUGAAGGUCUUCGGAUCGUAAAACUCUGUUAUUAGGGAAGAACAUAUGUGUAAGUAACUGUGCACAUCUUGACGGUACCUAAUCAGAAAGCAACGGCUAACUACGUG